CCUACGGGAGGCAGCAGUGAGGAAUAUUGGUCAAUGGACGAGAGUCUGAACCAGCCAAGUCGCGUGAAGGAUGACUGCCCUAUGGGUUGUAAACUUCUUUUAUAAAGGAAUAAAACGCGGCACGUGUGCCUUUUUGCAUGUACUUUAUGAAUAAGGAUCGGCUAACUCCGUGCCAGCAGCCGCGGUAAUACGGAGGAUCCGAGCGUUAUCCGGAUUUAUUGGGUUUAAAGGGAGCGUAGAUGGGUUGUUAAGUCAGUUGUGAAAGGUUGCGGCUCAACCGUAAAAUUGCAAUUGAUACUGGCAGUCUUGAGUACAGGUGAGGUAGGCGGAAUGCGUGGUGUAGCGGUGAAAUGCUUAGAUAUCACGAAGAACCCCGAUUGCGAAGGCAGCUUACUAAACUGUGACUGACAUUGAUGCUCGAAAGGGUGGGUAUCAAACAGGAUUAGAUACCCGGGUAGUC
Molecule: ribosomal RNA, 460 nt
Filed under: uncultured bacterium
Lineage: Bacteria
Description: partial 16S ribosomal RNA
Rfam family: Bacterial small subunit ribosomal RNA
Source: RNAcentral